Non-coding RNA from Pelobates cultripes (western spadefoot toad), 242 nucleotides. NCBI's taxonomy places the organism in Eukaryota, Metazoa, Chordata, Amphibia, Anura, Pelobatidae. The record is from the annotation of a GenBank genome assembly.
CUAUUACACAGACUUACCAUUUUUUUUUACAUGCAGAAUACGGUUUUACUCAUGAGACAUCACUGAACACAAAUAUGUGUUUUAUAGCAGUAAAAUGUAUAAGAGUGAUGAUAUAAUCAAAGUGUAAAAAAACGAAUAUGAACGCUAACUUUGGCCAGAGUUUGUGACCAAGUGGCUACUACCAAAUACUGAAUAUACCCCAUUUUGAAUACUCUGGGCAGUCUUUUACAAAAUGGUAUGCC